Molecule: long non-coding RNA, 434 nt
Filed under: Androctonus crassicauda
Lineage: Eukaryota; Metazoa; Arthropoda; Arachnida; Scorpiones; Buthidae
Source: RNAcentral
GCUAAUUAAAUCCAAAUAUUUUAAGUGAGCUAAAUACAGUCCUGGUUAUAACAUUAUUUCUACGAUCAUUGGUCUUCCUUGUUUUGUCUGCCGUUUUGUCUGGGAGAGGUUUCUAGGGAGCAGGCGGCUCUUAUGGGGGAUGUUCGUUCACAAGUUACAUCAUUACUUAUAUCACCAGCUAACAAGAAAUGAAAACAGAGCUUGAAUACAUUUACAGCAUAGGCCAAAUAUAUGGGUAUAAUAGGAGAUUCUUAGAAGAGAUCUAUUAUAAAGUACAACAAUCCUCCAUAAACAAAAACGAUACUGAAGAACCAAGCAACAAAGAAUAUGAACCAGUUCUGUAUGCUAUGAAGAACUACAGUGUCACUAAGAAAUUAGCUAAAAAGACUAAUAAGAGGCUAGCUUAUAAGAGACAUCCGACACUGUUCAGCCAG